Long non-coding RNA from Cloeon dipterum, 1722 nucleotides. RefSeq lists it as uncharacterized. The transcript is spliced from 4 exons. The record is from RefSeq and is a predicted model, not a curated record. NCBI's taxonomy places the organism in Eukaryota, Metazoa, Arthropoda, Insecta, Ephemeroptera, Baetidae.
GGCGCUGUGUAUAAAAACAACAUGACGGACCGGCACGCGAUUGCAUCAUCCUAGCCGCCCGCGUUGAUCUCCUUGUUUUCGGUGGUUUUUGACAGAUUAAGUGCCUGAACGGACCCAUAAUCGUGUUCUGGAUGUUUCUAAAAGGAGGUGUCAUUUUCCUGGGCAAAGAAUGAAUUUUUGCCGAAUUUCCUGGAAUGCCCUUUUCCUGAUUGCACGAGCUUUGAUCUGACUUCGGACUCUCGCAGUUGGACGGUUUGAAUGAACAUCUUGGCCUGGCAAUCUUCAAUUAGGAUGCGCGUCAUUUCUCUAUAGAAAAGAGAAGAAUCUUUGCUGGUAUGUGUCGCUGCUGAGUUAUCGUCGAUCUUGGAGAUGGACCAAACUUGCAGCCUUGGCAUUUAGAUCUCUCAUGAGCAACAAGGGCAUCCUGAGAAGCUGCCAAAGAUAUGGUUCUUCUGCGUCGUUUGCAAAAUGUGAAUAGCAGAGGCCGGAAGAGCAAGAAAAUGAAAAAACAACUCAAUUCACCAGUCACUCAAGCCCUUAAUGUUUUAAGCCGCCAGUAUUUUGGAUGUUAUGUACUAUUUUAAUGGGUUUGUGGCCUUUGUGGGACCAAAAAAGCUGCUGCACGAUACGAUAACGUGAUAAUUUAAUUAUAAAUAUUCUAUUGUGCCUUAAAUUAAAAUAGCAGCUCUCAAUUGAAGAAUAUUAUCCACCAUAUAUGUCAUUGUAAAUUGUAAAAAAGAAAACAGGAACUACUAUCAUGGGAAUUUUAAACUAAUAAUUAUUUAUUUAAAAGUAAUGUAAUUUCUAUUAAAUGGCUUUUUAGCGGGUGCCAUUAAUUUAAAAAUUUAUUUAUGUAUUGUAACGCUCGUCUUUGGAGUUAAUUGCUUUGAUUUACUUUAAGAGUGGCUCAAAGAGCCAAUUGCCAGAUUUGUCUCUUGUCUUGGGCUGCUGUUAGGACUCUCGCGUGGGUGUUCCCGUAAUUUAACUUAAAUUGAACUCCUUUGGCCGGUCUGCAGCACCCAGAGCUGGUCACUCGCCUGGUUCGCUCGAAUAAUUAAGUGGUGUUCCGAAAUCUGCAACUGUCAGACGGACAGUGUUAUAAAUAUGAAGGUUUACGUUUUUUAGAUUGUUUUAAGUCAAACAACUUACUUAUUUCCAGUGGGAUCUCAAAUAAUCAAUACGACUUCCAUCUAUUUUAACACUCGAGCUUAUGUUAUACGAUAGAGAUGACCAUCACCCGCGUCGUAUUGCGUAUUGAUUGUUUGAGAUCCCCACUGGAAAUAUGCAAGUUUAACUUAAACAAUCUAAUAAACACAAGUCUUCGUAUUUUGACCCUGUCGGUUAAGACAAUUACGGAGUUCGGGGAUGCCGCAUCUCGGCCACGAAAGCGAACCAAGUGAGAGUCCGGCACUGAGUGGUGAAGACCUGUUAAAGGAGUUCAGUUCAAGUCAUAUUUCAGGAACUCCCACGCAAGAAAUAACACAGAACAGGCAAAUCUGUCAGCUGGCUCUAUUUAAGCCACUCCAGACAGUCGUGAAAUUAAGCAAAUAACACCUAGACGAGCGUUAUAUAAUAAAUUCUUAAUAGGAAAUGUACCAGAACAUUUUGUAAUGUGUGAUCUUUGAUUAAAGAAAUAAAUUCCAAUUAAUAGAACCCAAAAAAAUUUUCAUUUACAUCAACAACGCAGCAACGUUGAUGCGUUGUUGAUCGUCAACAACGAUA